RNAcentral lists this long non-coding RNA (3768 nucleotides) under Homo sapiens (human). RNAcentral's name for it is "HSALNT0238777". The record is from RNAcentral. Lineage: Eukaryota; Metazoa; Chordata; Mammalia; Primates; Hominidae.
AUCCAAUCAGAAUAUGUAGUCCAGGAACGGCAUUUGCAUAACCUCGGUAUAUAAAGCAUGGUGAGGUCGCAUCAGGUCAUUUCAGGCUCUGCUGUGUCAAGUCGGGGAGCGGCUCUUUGCUCAGCUUAGAGAACUGGAAGAGGCCGCAACCUUCUGCCUGCUGGAGGCUGGAGGAUGGAUGGAGCCUGGAGCCUGGGACACUACCUUGCUGUGGUUGGUGGUGGCGACAGAGCAGUAAGAGGGUGGCCGGCAGCAGGAGCUUGUCCUGCUGGGCUGGAGGACUAGGAGAAGGAAGAGGCACCACCACAUGCUGGAGGCUGAAGCCUGGAGUCUGUGCCACCAUGGCUCGCCUCGCUGUGGUUGGUGGUGACGCUGGAGACUGCAGCUGGGCCACAGUGGUAGAAAUGUGAUGGGGUAGGUUGGAAACACUCUCUUUACGGAAUCUGCAAAUGGACAUUUCAGAGCCUAUUGAGGCCUACACUGAAAAACCAAAUAUCCUGCAAUAAAAACUACAAAUAAGCUACCUGUGAAAAUGUUUUGUGAGGUUUGGAUUCAUCUCACAGAUUUAACCCUUUGUUUUGAUUCAGCAGGUUGGAAAUACUCUUGUUGUAGAAUCUAUGAAGGGACAUUUCAGAGCUCAUUGAGGCCUAUAGAGAAAAAUCAAAUAUCCUGCGAUAAAAACUGUAAAGAAGCUACCUCUGAAAAUACUUUGUGAUGUGUGAUUUUAUCUCAGAAGUUGAACUUUUCAUUUGAUUCUGCAGCAGGUUGGAAACACUCUUUUUCUACAAUCUACAAAGGUACAUUUUGGAGCAAAUUGAGGGUUAUACUGAAAAAUCGAUUAUCUCACAAUACAAACUAGGAAAAAGUUAUCCGUGAAAAUGCUUCGCAAUGUGUGAAUCCAUCUCACAAAUUUAAACCUUUGUGUUCAUUCAGCAGGUUAGGAAUACUUUUUUUGUAGAAUAUACAAAGGGACAUUUGACACCUUUGGAAGCCUAUAGUAAAAAAGCAAUUAUUUCUCAAUAAAAAAUUUGUCUCUGAAAAUGCUUUGUGAUAUGUGGAUUCUUUUCACAGAGUAAAACGUAUGUUUUUAUCCCACAGGUUGGAAACACUGUUGUUGUUGAAUAUGCGAAGGGACAUUUCAGAGCUAAUUGAGGCCUAUAGUGAAAAACCGAAUAUCCCAUGAUAAAAACUAUAAAGAAGCUAUCUCUGAAAAUAUUUUGUGAUGUGUGAUUUUCAUCUCACAAGUUGAACUUUUGUUUUUAUUCAGCAGCAGGCCAAAAUUACUCUUUUGGUAAAAUCUACGAAGGAACAUUUUGGAGCCCAUUGAUGCCUGAGGUAAAAAACUGAAAACUGAAUAUCUUGUGAUAAAAACUAGAAACAAGCUUUCUGUGAAAAUGCUUUACAAUGCAUCAUUUUAUGUCACAGAGUUAAAUCUUUGUUUUGAUUCAGCUGGUUAAAAACACUCUUGUAGAAACUAUGAGAGGACAUUUCAGAACAUGUUGAAGUCUAUAGUGAAUAACAAAAUAUCCCGCAAUAAAAACUAGAAGCAAGCUAUCUAUGAAAAUGCUUUGUGAUGUGUGCAUUUAUCUUGCAGAUCUAAACAUUGUUUUGAUUCAUCAGGUGAGAAACACCCUUUUGAUGCAAUGUACAAACGGACGUUUCAGAGCCCACUGAGCCCCAUAGUCAUAAAACCAAAUAUCCUGCUAUAAAACUGGAAACGAGCUAUCUGUGAAAAUGUUUUGUGAUGUGUGGAUUCAUCUCAUAUAGUUAACCCUUUAUUUUGAUUCAGCAGGAUGAAAACACUCUUUGUGUAAAACCUACAAAAGGGAGGUUGGAAACACUCUUAUUGUGAAAUUUACGAAGGGACAUUUUGGAGCCCACUGAAGCCUAUGUGAAAAACCAAAUAUCUCACCAUUAAAACUAGCUAAACAAACUACCCAUGAAAAUGCUUGGCCAUAUGUGGAAUAAUUUUACAGAGUUAAAUCUUUGUUUUUAUUCAGCAAGUUGGAAAUGCUCUCUUGUACAAUCUACGAGGGGACAUUUUGGAGCCCAUUGAGGCCUAUAGUAAAAAAUCAAGUGUCCCGUAAUAAAAACUACAAAGAAUCUAUGUCUGAAAAUGUUCUGUAAUGUAUGAUUUUAUCUCACAGAGUUAAACUGUUGUUUUGUUUCAGCAGGUUGGAAACUCUCUUUUGGUAGAAUCUUCAAAGAGACAUUUGAGAGCCCAUUGAGGCUUGGAGUGAAAAACCAAAUAUCCAGCAAUAAAAACUAGAAACAAGCAAUCUGCAAAAAUGCUUUGUGAUGUGUUCAUUUAUUUUGCAGAGUUAAAACUUCAUUUUGAUUCAACAGGUUAAAAACACUCUUGUAGAAUAUAGGAAGUGACAUUUCUAAGCCCAUUGAGGCCUAUACUGAAAAACUGAAUAUCUCACAACAAAAACUAGAAAAAAAUCUAUCUGUGAAAAUACUUUGCAAUGUGAGGAUUUAUCUCACAGAGGUAAGCCUUUGUAUUAAUACAGCAGGCUGGAAACACUCUUUUUGUAAAAUCUACAAAGGGACAUUUCAUAGACCAUUGAGGCCUACAGUGAAAGAUCAAAUAUUUUGUGAUUAAAACUAGAAAAAAGCUAUCUGUUAAAAUGCUUUGCAAUGUUUGGAUUCAUUUUACAGAGUUAAGCCUUUGUUUGGAUUCAGCAGGUUGAAAACACUCUUUUUGUAGAAUCAACAUAGGGACAUUUCAGAGCACAUUGAGGCCUACGGUGAAAAACCCAACAUCCCAUGAUAAAAACUAGAUUCAAGCUAUCUGUAAACAUGCUAUGCAAUGUCUGGAUUAGCCCAAAAAAGUUAAACCUUUAAUUUGAUUCAGCAAGUAGGAAACACUGUUCUUGUAGAAUCUAAGAAGGGACACUUCAGAGCCCAUUUAGGCCUAGAGUGAAAACCCACUUAUCCUGCGAUAAAAACUAGAAACAAGCUAUCUGUGAAAAUCUUUUCUGAUGUGGGCAUUCAUCUCAAAGAGUUAAACCUUUCUUUUGAUUCAGCAGGUUGGAAACACUCUUUUAGUAGAAUCUACAGAGGGACAGUUUGGAACCUAUUUAGACCCAUAGUCAAAAAAGCAAAUAUCCCACAAUAAAAACUAGUAACAAGCUAUCUGUGAAAAUGCUUUGCAAUGUGGGGAUUCAUCUCACAGAGUCAAACCUUUGUUUGGAUUCAGCAGGAUGAAAACACACUUUUUGUAAAUCUACAAAGAGGACUUUGGAAAAACUCUUUUUAUGAAUCUACAAAGGGACAUUUUGGAGCCCAUUCAGGUCUACAGUAGAAAACCAAAUAUUCCAGGAUAAAAACUAAAAACAAGCUAUCUGUGAAAAUGCUUCUUGAUGUGUGCAUUCACCAAAUAUAGGUAAACUUUUUUUUUGAUUCAGCAGGUUGGAAACCCUCUUUUUAUAGAAUCUACAAAGGGGCAUUUCGAAGCCCAUUGAGGCCUAUAGUGAAAAAUUGAACAUUCAACAAUAAAAACUAGUAACAAGCUAUAUUUGAAAUUGCUUUGUGAUGUGUGGGUUCAUCUCACUGUUACAUCAUCAUUUUGAUUUAGCAGGUUGGAAAUGCUCUUUUGUAGAAUCUAUGAAGGAACAUUUGGAAUCGCAUUAAAGCCUAUAGAGAAAAACUGAAUAUUCUGCAAUAAAAACUAGGAACGAGGUAUCUGUGAAAAUGCUCUUCGAUGUGUGCAUUCAUCUCACAGAGAUAAACAUUUCUUUUGAGUCAUCAGAUUGGAAACUCUUU